RNAcentral lists this long non-coding RNA (3179 nucleotides) under Bos grunniens (domestic yak). RNAcentral's name for it is "lncRNA (ENSBGRG00000013908.1)". Lineage: Eukaryota; Metazoa; Chordata; Mammalia; Artiodactyla; Bovidae. The record is from RNAcentral.
CCCGGCCCUCCCGUCACAGGCAUGGUGACCCCGGUCCAGCUUUCCAACCCCAAUCUCAGCUACCACUCAGACGACACCCGCCGGCUGAGCGCAGACCUGCGCCUUAGGUCUCAAGACCGCUGAGAAAGAAACCACCUUCCCUUUUGCAGGUGAGAACACUGGGACCAGGAGAUCAAAUGACGAACGAAAGUCACACUGAAUGGGGUCAAAUACACCUGGGACGGACCAGGCUGGCCGCCUCCGAGGCCCGAAGCUGGGCGGUCUCACGAGGUCCCCGCAGCCCGCCUGUCCCCGAGGGCUCCGAGGGGGUCGCGCUGAGACGCCCUUGGGUGAGAGGUCCCAGGUUCCCCACCGCAGAGACCCAGAGACUCCGAGUCAAGACCCAACGUCAAGGCCGACCCAGAGCAGGCGGUGCAGGCGACAGAGAGUCGCUGGCUCAGUCACUGAGCGGUUUGGUCCCAGCUGCGGGUUGAUUGAUGGCACUGCAUCAGAGAGCACUCUUAGGGGAGCUGUUUACCCCCAUCUUCCAUCUGGAGCUGCUGGGAUAUACUUCACUGUGAUGAUGGCUACUGAAUGAGCUGCACUGGCAGCACCUCGGAAGGAUGGUGGCUGGGGAGCCGGCCCAGAAUCAAAGGAUGUCAGGGUAAUGAAUGGAGCUGAGCACAAAACGUCCAGCGCUUCUCAAACAUGACGGGGUGGCAAUUCGAAAAGAAGGAUGGCGCACAGCUUGUAAAACUACAAAGCAGGGAAACGUAACAUUCCUUUGUUCUUUCGUUUAGGGAUCUUACUUUCUAGAGAUUUAUAUCCAUUCAAGGAAAUAUGGUAGUUAUGACUGAAAUACAGUGACUUUGUUGACAACGACCUAUUGUUUAAAAUUCAUUUGACCAUAUUAGAUUAUAAACUUCUUUUAAGGAAGGUAUUCAGUAUUUUGGGGGGCACAUAGACAACCAGUAUGAGAGGUGCAUUCCUGAUCCACAGCUUCUUUAGGAAUCUGUAAUUACUAUGUAUUAUGGAAAUUAUAUGUAUUUCCAUUUAAUGGGAAACGGUACAGAAAGUCCAUAAAAACAAUACAGAAAUGAUAGUACAGAAAAGCAUUUCUAAGAGGUGGACACACGCAAGCACCUGCUCCACCAACCACAGGUGGAAUUGCGGUGAGUGCUAAGUGUUACAGAGAGGCUGUUGUACAGGUGAGGACAUGCCUGGGCAUGAAGCCAGCAGGCCAGGGUCUAGAAAAUCUCUGUGGAAGAGAGUUGUAAGGCAAGAUCACGAGGAAGGAGAGAUGUGAGUUUGAGGUUUUUGAGAGGCUAGUUUACCCUGUUGCUUAUAGCUAUAUAUUAUCACUCUGGCACUCUAGUUUUUCACAGUAUUAUUCAUAACUUUUCCUUUUAAUAAUAAAAUCUAUUUCCUAAACUGUGCUGUUACAGAGCAUGGCAUGUAAAACAUCCCAGAGAUGAAAAAUAUAAGACUUUUAAGAAGAGUGAAUACUUAGGCUAGAUCCUGAGUUGGGUUUGAACUGGGGAAGUUUGGUUGGAGGAAUAAAAUCUGUGAGCAUUACUUGCAACUUGAUAGAUAAUUGCAGUGAUGAGAUCAAAGUGGUAACUGAGGAAGGUGGACUUAGCUGUGUUGAGUUCCUUAGGAUUGUUUCUGGAAAGGAGGGAUGGAAGGAAAGAAGAUCCUUAGGGAGGGUGGUUUGAAGGAAGGACAGCUGAAGUAGUGAGAACACAGCUGAAGUAUCUACAUACCUUGGUUCUAAUGCAAGCAAGGAAGGACCAGCCCGAGAGAGUCAUGUUUGUCAGCAUGUUCUUUUAUGAAAGCUGUGUUCAUCUUGCUAUUGAGAGUUCAUGGAUUGACUCUGCUUCUUGUUAUCCUGACUAUACCAAAUAGAAUCACUUUGCUUCCCAUGUUUGCACAAAGUUGAUGUAGUACUUUCAAUUUUUUUUUUUGCAGUAAAAUCCAUUUCUUAAACUAUGCUGAUUAGGUAAAAGAAUGUGCUUUUUGGAAGUGAAAUUGCAUUGUGUAUUCUUUUGCUUGAUAGGCAAUAUUUUUUAAGGUCUGCAUUCAUAGACACUGAGAUUCUCAUUAACUGAGGCAAGUACAAACAGGCUCAGGAUCAUUAACACUUGAAAAUCAGUAAAAUUACGAACUAGGCACCUAAUUUUGGCCCACUGCUUUGUGUUUGCCUGCUUCUUAACCUCUCCACAACAAUACCAUGAUGUAGGGAUGUAGUUAGUGAAAGGACGAACAGAGAUGUCUGAGUGGAAGCCCACCUUUAUCCACUUACUCAAUUUUACUUGGAUUUUUCUAUGCUUGAUGGUAUAGAGGUUGAGUUUCUCAAUUUUUUUGACAUCCUACCAGCUUCUUGUUAGCUACCUGCCCCAGGGAAAAUCAAAGAAGGUAGGAUAUAAAAUUCAUCAUUCUUACUACUUAGUAUAGCUCUGAUAAAAAAGUUUUGCUAAAGAGGAAAUUAAAACAAAUGCCUUGCAAGAAUAUACAAUGGAUUAAAGACAAUCUUUUUAACAAGUGGUGCUGGGAAAACUGGUCAACCACUUGUAAAAGAAUGAAACUAGAGCACUUUCUAACAUGAUACACCAAAAUAAACUCAAAAUGGAUUAAAGAUCUAAAUGUAAGACCAGAAACUAUAAAACUCCUAGAGGAGAACAUAGGCAAAACACUCUCCGACAUACAUCACAGCAGGAUCCUCUAUGACCCACCUCCCAGAAUAUUGGAAAUAAAAGCAAAAAUAAACAAAUGGGACCUAAUUAAACUUAAAAGCUUCUGCACAACAAAGGAAACUAUAAGCAAGGUGAAAAGACAGCCUUCAGAAUGGGAGAAAAUAAUAGCAAAUGAAGCAACUGACGAACAACUAAUCUCAAAAAUAUACAAGCAACUCCUACAGCUCAAUUCCAGAAAAAUAAAAUGACCCAAUCAAAAAAUGGGCCAAAGAACUGAAUAGACAUUUCUCCAAAGAAGACAUACAGAUGGCUAACAAACACAUGAAAAGAUGCUCAACAUCACUCAUUAUCAGAGAAAUGCAAAUCAAAACCACUAUGAGGUACCAUUUCACGCCAGUCAGAAUGGCUGCGAUCCAAAAGUCUACAAGCAAUAAAUGCUGGAUAGGAUGUGGAGAAAAGGGAACCUUCUUACACUGUUGGUGGGAAUGCAAGCUAGUACAGCCACUA